This 460-nucleotide ribosomal RNA is filed under the name uncultured bacterium. RNAcentral's name for it is "partial 16S ribosomal RNA". It matches the Rfam family "Bacterial small subunit ribosomal RNA", at positions 338 to 795 of the family's 1533-position model. The record is from RNAcentral.
CCUACGGGUGGCUGCAGUGAGGAAUAUUGGUCAAUGGGCGCGAGCCUGAACCAGCCAAGUAGCGUGAAGGAUGACUGCCCUACGGGUUGUAAACUUCUUUUAUAAAGGAAUAAAGUGAGGCACGUGUGCCUUUCCGUGUGUACUUUAUGAAUAAGGAUCGGCUAACUCCGUGCCAGCAGCCGCGGUAAUACGGAGGAUUCGAGCGUUAUCCGGAUUUAUUGGGUUUAAAGGGUGCGUAGAUGGGUUGUUAAGUCAGUUGUGAAAGGUUGCGGCUCAACCGUAAAAUUGCAAUUGAUACUGGCAGCCUUGAGUACAGGUGAGGUAGGCGGAAUGCGUGGUGUAGCGGUGAAAUGCUUAGAUAUCACGAAGAACUCCGAUUGCGAAGGCAGCAUACUGAACGGCAACUGACAUUGAUGCUCGAAAGUGUGGGUAUCAAACAGGAUUAGAUACCCCAGUAGUC